AUGGGGUCCAACGAGGCGGACAAGCCGCUGCGCCGGAUCGGCGCGUCGUUCGAGCAGCUCGCGGCCGUCGCCAAACAGCAGCAACAGCCCGCGAUGGCGGCGGGGGACUUCUCGCGCGCCUGCUCCAACGUCUCCGUCCUCUUUGGCUGCCUCGGCAUCGCCUUCAAGUUCGCCGAGAUGGACUACGUCGCCAAGGUUAAUGAUUUACUGGAGGCAUCCAAGACGAUUUCAACAUUGCCCUCCAUGGUUGAGCUUGACAUUCAAAAGGGCACUGUCAGGCAGGCGGGGAGCCAUACGAGGAAUCUACUGAGGGUUAAGCGUGGGAUUGAUAUGGUGAAAGUUCUGUUUGAGCAGAUAUUGGUCACAGAAGGCAACUCCCUGAAGGACGCAGCGUCAAAGGCUUAUGCUCAGGUGUUUGCUCCUCACCAUGGCUGGGCCAUAAGGAAGGCCGUUGGUGCUGGAAUGUAUGCCCUCCCUUCUAAGUCGCAGCUCUUGAAGAAACUGAAUGAAGAUGAAAAUUCGGCAAGGGCUCAAAUGCAGAGUUUCGUCAGGUCGUCUGGACCAGUAAUUCUCUACGUCGAAGACCUCUUCACCUCCAAGAAUUUAGGGCUGGACUGGUGA
Molecule: ribosomal RNA, 621 nt
Filed under: Triticum aestivum (bread wheat)
Lineage: Eukaryota; Viridiplantae; Streptophyta; Magnoliopsida; Poales; Poaceae
Description: partial small subunit ribosomal RNA
Source: RNAcentral